GUGGACUUGAUAUCCCUGUGAAAGACUGGAAUUGUAAGCCCCGAGUGUAGGUAUGCCAAUGCUCCUGCUACCUCUGUGGCUACUUUUAAUCUCAAGCUCCAAGUAAAAGGGAAGGAUUCAGCCUCAUUGUCGUUUUGAAUGAGGUUAAAUAGGGUUCCAUUAGGGAUAUAUUCAUAGACAAGCAGAGGAACUUCUGUCUCCAAGCAACAACCCAGAAGUUUUACCACAUUCCUGUGAUUAACUUGCGAAACAAUGACGAGCUCGUUGAUGAACUGCUCCAAUAGGCUUUCGUCGACCUUCGACUUCUUGAUUGCCACAAUUCUUCCAUCGGCUAGGAUCCCUUUAUAUACUGUACCUUGGCCACCUUGACCAAGUAUUCGACUUUCGUUGAAUCCAUCAGUGGCCGCCUCCAAUUCCCUAGAAAUGAAAAUUCUAGAUUUUUCAAUAGCACCAUCUGCAGCAGAUAAUUGUUUCUCCAAUAGAAGACCUCCAUUUCGUUCAAAAUGGCCCUGCUUCUUCUUUUUAUUGCGUCUCUUCUGUAGCAGGACAAGACCAGUAAACACUGCAAUUGUCACCCCAGCAGCCACAGCAAGAUUUGGAGUCCUUAUGCCCAAAAGACAUAACGUAACUAUGACUACUGCAAGGAUGAGAAGUAGCAGAAAGAAUAACUUGAGAGGACUCAUUAUUGGGAAGUAGAGCAAAGUUUUAUCUUUCACUAGCAUAGGGAUAUUGUUGAACUGAUCAAAGAGCAUCUGCCUAAAUAUGUGAACCAAAAUGAUGUAGGAAAUAGUCAAAUUACCUUGGAGAAGUCUACAUCAGUUGAGAUCAGAUGCGGGCUAUUUUUUUGACUAGCAACUUCCUCGAUGUUUCGCUGCAAUUGCUGGAUGUAUUCGACGACUUAAGGAACCAGUAUGGAACAAUCCACUUCCGUGGUCAAAACUUGUUUGGCCGACCUCUUAGGUUGUGUUUGGAUUGCAUUUUCCGUCAUUUUUCAUGAAAAAAUUACUGUAGCGAUUUGAUAUAUGUGAGGGAAAAAGGUGAUAGGAAAAUGUGAUCACGGAAAAUGACAAUAUUUUCCGACGGAAACAAGCAAUCCAAGCAUGGCCUUAGUCUUCUUCUGAUCUUAACUCUUUUAACCAUCUCUUUUCCUACACUAAUUACCAAUUAUAUUCAAGGUUAUUUUUAUGGUGUUUUUGUCGGAUCAUCGGCAUCACCAGUUGAAAUCUACCAAGUUGAAAGCCAUUAGUGUAAAUUGUACAUCAGAUGUAAUAAAAUUACAGGUUUCAAUUUGUGAGACCCCUCAUCCGUUUCUAUUGGGUUCUUCCUUGAAAGCUUAUAAUCAUAGUUGGCAAGACUCUGUGUAAAUGGUAUUAAAAAUGGAACAGGAUUCAGCUCUGACAAAUCGAUAUACUUACGGUAAUAUUUUCUUUGUUGAGAGAAACCUAUGACAAUAUUUGUAUGUAUUUCAAUAACAAAAAGCGUACAUCCACUAAGAUAGAUGUAUACGGAUAAGAAUACUACAUGCAUUAAACACUUAUUAUUUUUUUUUUUGUCAGACUUUUUCAAGUUAGCAAUUAAACCUAAUCCCAAAAUUAACCUCAAAAGCCGGCAUUAAACACUUAUUUGGAUACAAGAUUGUUUGAAAUAAUUACUGUAACACUUUUUGAAAUAUAUUUGAAAUAAUUAUUGUAAUACUUUUUUACGAUAUGAUAUGAUGUAUACGGGGUAAAAAAGAUUGGAAAUAAGGGUGGUAAUUGGGUCAGAAACGGGUUGGCUGGUCGGGUUGAGAUCAGGGUACAUGGUUCUCCAACUUCAGUUCUGGUCCUCCAAGAAGGCAUAGGCAGAGGUAUUGGUUGCAAAGCUCUGCAAAGCGUUACGUGCAAUUGAAAAUUGUGUUGGCUGAGAUAGUAGGGAAUGCUUGCUUGACAGGAAUUGAUGCGACAGCAACCGAUUAUGAUAAGGAAUUGAUGUGUGUGUUGGUGCCACACAUUGAGGUGCAACCAACCAGACAAGAUCUCUGGACUGCCAAGUCGCGGUCUGAAGAGAGCAUUUCCACAGCCAAGGAACAUCACUUGUUGCAUUCUCUCGAAACAAAGAAGGGAGCUUCAGCAAGGGAACCUUCUGCAAUGGCCGGAUCAAAUGAAUCACUCCAGCAAACUUGGAGCAAGGGUAAGUUUAUGGUUACUGUUUGAUCACUCAGGGACACUUCCAGCACCUCAACAAUUUCUUGGGAACCUUUUCCUGGUUAAAGCACCCCAGAUACGGCUUUGAACUGUUGAUGGAAUCGCCAGAGACAUUAGUACAGCUUAUGAUGAAUGCUUCAUUGAGAGCACAAUCUGUUCUGGACAAAUUCCAACUGGGUAGGGAAUUGCCACUCCUCCAUAUGUAUCAAUGCAUCCUGGCUUCUCCACUGGAAAUCGUGUCGCCCCAAUGAUUGGACAAUGAGGUAAAGAAACACAAAUAACAUACAGAUUAACAUCAAUUACUCGUACCAAGUUAUUUAUUUCUUAACUUCCGAAUAAAGUCUGAAAUGUUGCAAAUGCAGAGGGCUGUAGGAGCAUGGGGGAUUUUGUCGACUAUCAUAUUGGUGCAUUUAGAUGCAAAAGUCAGUGAGUCAAGUCAGAAACGUAGCCAUUAAAGCAAAGUAAAUGAAUGAUACAAGCAAUUAUUUGAGAAUGUAUGGCUAAUUAAAGUCUUGAAUAUUAGCAUCUAUAAUUCCUAAGCGUCUGAGGUUAAACUUUCUGCAGAUUGAGAAACAGUAGAUGUUGAGUCUUCUUCCAAAUGAGGGCGUUUUGCAACGUGUACAACAUCUGUUGUGGAUCUGUUUUUUCUCUAGUCAUGGAAUGGACUAACGCAGUCCCCAUUUCGUUUUACAGUUUAAUUUACUUUCCACUUACUAGUAUUGUAAUUUGGAAACCAAACCCUUUAGCAGACCGAUUCACUUGUUUAUUUGGGAUUUAUCCCACUAAUAUCACGCAAAGAAUUUAAAUUAGGAGUAAUACUCAUUGAAACGCAACGGAUCUUCUGUCUAACUUUCUGUGCCACUCUUUGUCCUACUUUUUAUUAUAUUGCUAUUUCUUCUCUAUAAAUAUCGUAUUUUAGUUCUUUUUUAUUUCCUUAAAAUCCAAUAAUAAUUUAAUAGGUAUGGGGUCCAUAGCAUAGACAAUGAAUAUUGGAGUUUUAGUUUCUAUAUUACGUUAAACCUGAAAACAUUAUGUUCAAAGGGAACCAAUUUAGAAUUCUUGUAACAGUUUAAUAUCUUGUUUGUCGUAGCCUAAAGUAUUCAAAUUGGUUUCUUUUCAAUAUAACUUUAGCAAAUUAAACUAUUGCAAUUAAUUGAGAUAUCAGGAAUUAGAAGUUUUGAUUUCAAAUUCCUGUCUCCGUCGCUACUUCUCAAUUUCUACCCUCCCCUACUAAAUUUUUUUUUUUAAAUAUCCCAAGCAAUUUGUAAAUGGGAAGAUUUGAGAGUUUGAGGUAGAAAUUUUUUUUUUUAUUAACUGAUUAUUGUCUUUACCAAAUAUCAAAUGAGCUGAAUAAAUCUUUUCUUUUAAUUGUUUAAUACUUGGUUCACGACCGUGUGCCAGCCCAUCUCUAUUGACUACUCGAAUAUAUUUCUAGUGCCAAGCCCACAAAUAUUUCUAGUACCCAGCCGACAAAAACGACUACUUUCCAAGCCUGUAGCUCUUCCGAAAAUAGCCCAGAGUCUUUGCUGGGUCUGGCGGACACAAAGGACAGACUGAAAUUUAAUGUAUUCAUAUGUUUAUACGCGUUUGGUAAUGAAAAAUUGAACAUCUGAAUUAAUUAUGUGCUACUGAAUUUUUUAGAUAAAAUUUACUUCAAAAAAUAAGUGAUAAGCUGUUCAUCUAUCACUGAAUGUGAUAUAUAUAUAUAUAUAUAUUCAAAUGUGUCAAAUGUAAUAUUUAACAAUUUAAUAACUUAACAGAUUUAAACUUCAAACUUCACAUUUCAAAUUUCAGAUUUCAGUUUUUUCAAAUGCACCCUUAAGUGUUUGAUAAAAACACACUACUAUUUUGCACAUUGUAAAUAUACAGCUUUCACUCUAUGUUAUCAUCUUUAUGCAGCUGAGCAUCAAAGAUUAGGACUGCCUCACACAACGUGUGAAGGCAACUUGACUAGUUUUAAAUUAACGGGUUAAUCUUGUAAAAUAGAGUAUUUCAUGUUACAACGUCUAUUAUUGUGUAACAUGCGUAAAACUUAAGCAAAUUAGGUAGUGUCAAUUCGUCAACAAACAGGCAGGUCUUGCUCGAGGUUUUACACAACCCGUUACCAAAUAUUUCUGUUUGGACCUACUAGUUUUUCAAAAACUAAUUUUUCAAAUACUAUAAAAAUUUUAAAAAGUAUUCUAAAAGGUAUUCUAAAAAGUAAUCUAUUUUUUUUAAUUUUUAAAAAAUAUUUUAAAAACUCUGCUACUAUUAAAUAUUUCAAAAUGUUUUCUAAAAAUAUCCUAAAAUAUAUUUUAAAAACUCUACUAUAGUAAAAUUUUUCAAAAAUACCUCCAAAAACAGCUAAUCCAAACAGAGUAGUUUCAGAUUAGUUGAACAGGAAAUCGACCAAGCAGCCGGUCUGAAUCUCACUAAAAUACCAUCCGUUAAAAAUUGGUCAAAAAUCGGGUUUGAACAAAAACCGACAAACCGGUUGGAGCCCCAUUUUUUCCAUUUUCUUAUCCUGCCUUCACUGAUUGACAUUAUCUAUUCCCACAUCUCAGGUGCAAUUUCAAAUACGGUACUCGUUUUUUUUUUUCCUUCCUUUGAUCGUUAACUAGCUCUAAGAAGUAAAACAAGUCUGAAUUGAAGUUACAAACCUGGGAGAGAAAUUCCAUUAUCUUAAUUCCAUUCUCUAAGUUCUUGAAAGAUUUGAAAUCAAAUAGAAGUAAAAAAAAAAAAAGAAAAGAGCAAAGAAGGAAGAGAAGAGAGAGGAGAGAAAUAGAAAAGGAUAAAAACAAAAAAAACCACUUGUGGUUAAGUGAAUAUACAGAAAAACUUCUCAUGGUAUCAAAACAUGGCAUCCAACAACUCAUGAUUUGAAUUAAACUAAAAAUGCGACGGAAAUUAUCAAAACUAAUGUGGGUAGGCGAAAUAACAAAAAUACCCUAAUAUAUAUAGGGGUAAAAUGCAAAAAAACCAUUCUGAUUAAACCAACUUACAGAAAAGUUCUCUAUGGUUCUUAAAAAAAAAAUAAUAUUCAUCCCUUUCACACAUAAAACAAUUGUUUUGAUUUGGUUAAUAUCUAUAUAUGGGAUAACAUCAUGUACGUAAAGUACAACAUCCCUUUUGAUGGCUUUUUCGAUCUUGACAAUUUUUACUUUCACUUUUCACAAAUCUUGUAUUGGUAUCAUAGGAUUUAGUUCUGUUGUCCACUCGAGAGUUUGAGAAAGAUAUAAGCAACCAUUUUGCAAAAUUUUCCUUCACCUUAUAUAAAGAAAAUGUAUUGAAAUUCUUAGUUUAAAUUCUUAAAAAAGACCCUAUGAGAUAAUAUUAUAAUAGCAAAAACCCAGAUUUAAAACUUUUACUAUACCCUAAAAGUAGUGUACAUAAGACUAGUGGUUGAUUUCUCUCAAGAAGUUUUACUCCCUUUUCAAUAUAUUUCUUAAAGGUUUCGGAUCAAAUCCAACGUAUAUGUUUUAAAUCUACAGAGAGUUUUUCUAUAGGUUGGGUUAAUCACAGAGGGCUUUUCUAUAAGGUAGAAUAGGUAUAUCAAUUGAAAAUUAUUAUAAAAAAUUGUUUUUCGUUGUCACUAGUUGCAAAACAAGCACGUGUGCCACAAACACAUUAGUUUUAACAAUUUUGGAGCCUUCUCAAUUUAUUUCAAACUACGAGGUAUUGAAUAUAUGUUUUGAAAUCAUAGGGGGAGUUUUCUAUGUUCAUUUAACUAGAAGUGGUUUUUUUUGUUUUUUACCCGAAAGAAAAUAAUGAAGACAAGAGAGAGCUUUAAUGUGUGCGUGAUAAAAGAAGAGAACAAAGCAAAAGAAACAACGGGGAAGAAACAAGGAAAAAUGAAAGAAGAAAAGUAACUGGCGGUUGCGUAAGGUAGAAACAAGGAGGACACAUUAGGUUUGGCAUUUAUUAACUUUAAAUACCCUAAAACUUUGAGAUAAUUUUAUUUUGACCCUUUAUUAUUUUAAUAAAGCAUUAAAUUAAUCCAUUAUAUUUUUCAAAUUAUAUUGUUUACUUAUAACUUUUAAAAUUUUUUAAAUGGAGUUCUUUUGGACUAAAUCUAAAUUCAUCAAAUAUGUAUGUACAGUUGCAAACAACCAAUUUAAGAGGAAUUUUUUUUAUAUAUUAUUUAUAUUAUAUAUAAUUAAUAUAUAUUUAUGACGUGUUUAUGAUGUCAUCCAAUUUAACCUCCAACCUAACUGGUUCAUUCCAUUGAUCCUGAAACCUGAGUUCGACCGAGUUGUUACUUGUCAGAGUUUCAAAACACAUCCUUGCCUACUUUCAUCAUGCUUCAGAAUUAAUAUGUUGUGAUAUGGUCAACGAACUUUUCCUACUUUACUUGAUGAAGUUAUCAGUAAAAAGAUAGACGCUAAAGCUCUGUACAUUCUGCCACAAAAAAGGGGGAAGAAUUUGGGCCCCCGGCCCGGGGGAAGGGGGGGGGGGGUGGUGGGGAGAGGAGAAAAUAAUCACCGGAAGUUGUUUCUUGAACACCAAGUUCACAGUGCACACAAACAUUUUGUGGAAUUCUUGGGGACGACUGCCCUUUCCAGCCCUGUCAUUUUUCCGCCAGCGCUGAAUUAGAUUGUAUUGUUCAAUACCGCGCAGGCAUCUGAAGUUGACUUAACGUUCUCACUUCCAAUAGUCCAUGCGUCGUAAACAUCACUCAUCACAACAGCUUCUUCGUUGGUGCAACUUGGACUUUGAUAAUUUUCUUGAAUAGUUAACCCCCAUCUGCACAUUUUGAUGUUUUCCAACUCGAUGGAAACUUCCUUCAUAGUUGGUCUCCUCCUUCCAUCCCAGUCUAUGCAUCGUUGUGCAAGUUUAGCAACAGCAAUUACCUCCCUUUCAUUUGUUUGAUCCAUAAUUUGAGGAUCAAGAAUCGUUGGAAGAGAAUUCUCUUCCAUGGAUGUCAGAAACCUUUGUGCCAACCCUAAAUAGACAUCUUCUCCUUCUUCUCUGGAAGGUAUGGGCUUUUGUCUUGUCAGGAGCUCAAGAAGAACCGCCCCAAAGCUGUAAACGUCACUUUUGUCAGAAAUUUGGCUCGACAGGAAAUAUUCUGGAUCGAUGUAGCCGAAAGUCCCUUGGACUCGAGUAGUCAUGUGGGUUUUGUCAAUUGCAAUGGACAAUGAAGCUCCAAAGUCUGAUACUUUAGCUAUGUAUUUUUCAUCCAACAAUAUGUUGGUGGACUUGAUAUCCCUGUGAAAGACUGGAAUUGUAAGCCCCGAGUGUAGGUAUGCCAAUGCUCCUGCUACCUCUGUGGCUACUUUUAAUCUCAAGCUCCAAGUAAAAGGAAAGGAUUCAGCCUCAUUGUCGUUUUGAAUGAGGUUAAAUAGGGUUCCAUUAGGGAUAAAUUCAUAGACAAGCAGAGGAACUUCUGUCUCCAAGCAACAACCCAGAAGUUUUACCACAUUCCUGUG
RNAcentral lists this long non-coding RNA (7591 nucleotides) under Coffea arabica (coffee). RNAcentral describes it as "long non-coding RNA (CARA_LNC006485)". The record is from RNAcentral. Lineage: Eukaryota; Viridiplantae; Streptophyta; Magnoliopsida; Gentianales; Rubiaceae.